AUGCUGAAAAUGUUACCAAAUCCAGCCAUUUGCUUGUGUUAGGAUUAGUCUUGGAAGGAUCAUUAGACCUGCAUUUCUGCCAAAUGCAGUUAGGAUUUGCCCAUGCCGAUGCCCAAAUAUAGACCUUGAGUUCAGUGUUGUGUCUACCACGUGCCUUGUCUAAUCCAGAAUGGGCUUGUUCAUCAUGCUUUUCCAGACAUAACAUAAACCACCAGGACAAUUGUAAUUAACACUGAGAAUACUGAAUAACCUUUGGCUAGAGCUAUUUUGGCCGAAUAGUUGAAUCCAGUGGAAUCAGUCAUCUAGGUUUAUGACCCUAGCUGAAGUCUAAUGCCCUCUGUGAUGUCUUUUCAAGCCAAAUCAGUUCUGUGUCCAAAAGUCCUGGGUUGCCCAAGGUUGAAGAUGGACGGUGUGUUAAAGAAGUGGAUGGCAUAUAGAAGCAUGGAUUCUGGACAUGGCUGUGCCACUAAGUACAGAAGUAACAUGAGUGAGAAUAUAGAUCAGCACCCCCUUUCUAAAGAAGAGGAAACACACUUCACAUAA
RNAcentral lists this long non-coding RNA (543 nucleotides) under Canis lupus familiaris (dog). RNAcentral describes it as "lncRNA (ENSCAFG00000046220.2)". Lineage: Eukaryota; Metazoa; Chordata; Mammalia; Carnivora; Canidae. The record is from RNAcentral.